Molecule: non-coding RNA, 109 nt
Organism: Drosophila ananassae
Lineage: Eukaryota; Metazoa; Arthropoda; Insecta; Diptera; Drosophilidae
Source: Rfam
GCGAGAUGGCUUUCGGGGACUAUCCAGCUGAGUACAACCCAAAGGUGCAUGGGCCUUACGACCCUGCCCGUUUCUACGGCAAAGGUAUGUGAAUUCGCGAAAUUACGUA